Coffea arabica (coffee) is the source of this 1235-nucleotide non-coding RNA. NCBI's taxonomy places the organism in Eukaryota, Viridiplantae, Streptophyta, Magnoliopsida, Gentianales, Rubiaceae. The record is from RefSeq and is a predicted model, not a curated record.
AUUGAAAACCCAGAUGGAGAGAGAUAUGGACGCUGACAAGCAGAGAAGGGGAAAGUAUUAAACUUGAAGAGUCGAUUCAAGAAUUGUCACAUGGCAAGGGACCCUACUUCCAGCAGCCAAUAUCUCUUACGGGUGGCGCAUCCAUGGCAUCGCCUAUGGGCAGCUACAGCAAACAAGCAACGCAAGGACGACAGAGGCAUGUGCCCCUCCAAACGAAUUGGCCUUGUUAUGUUAACCACCGUCACCCAGUCACCUCCCCCUGCUGUGCUUGUAAUUGUAUUAAGUGAGAGGCACGUGCACCCUUUACGCUUGGGACUGUUCAGUACACAUCCUUGUUCGUUGUUCCAUUCAGAGAACCUUUCUAGCAGAAGUGAGAUCCCGAUGAUGGGCAGCUUCAUUUGUCGACGGCGGUAAUGAUUGCCACUGCUAGUUGUAGUAACAGGAAAGGAGAAACAAGAAUAGCCGGAUCAACAAAAUUCAGCUGCAUUCCCACAUUUCAAUCAGCUACUCAACUGUAGUCCCUCCUACUAUUACAACUAGCAGAUUGAAGGGAAUUUAGAAGCGGAUUGCGGAAACAGGUGGCGGUGGUGGGGUUAGUUGGUUGUGGGAAUUAACAGGCAGGCGUACUAAAUCAUCGAAUGAUUGAACAAAUUGGAAAGGCGGGCAGCGGUAAAAGAGUACUCUAUACUCUUUGGAAAAUCACAAUCAAAAUUAGCACCGCCUCCGGCCGGAGGGGGCGGGGGGAUUGGUCGGGUGUGUUGUUAGAAUGUUAGUUUUUCGGUUAUGGGUUUGUGUAGUGGAAAACUGGAUAGCUAUUACAUUUGGGGAGGUGGGGGUGGGGGUGGUCCUCCUCCUCUGAAGUUUCAUCUUCAUCCCCAGACCUAUUGAAAUGGUAGUUGUGGAUUGCUGGUGUGGUAGCAUCGCUCACCCGUUCCCGUUAGAAGGAAGGAGAAAAACAGGAGGCUGCGGAGGAGUAGUUCCUUUUUUGCUUAGAAUAUGCGGACAAAAAUGCCCUCUCACUCAGAUUACUGCCAUUCGUGUAAAUUGACUUUUUAGUUGUAAAAUCGGAUAAACUGGCCAAAAGGGUUAUGAGUGCAUAAUUUUACAAGUUUGAGGGCUCAAAAUUGUCUAAAAUAGUUAAGGGACUUAAUUUUACUUAAACUAAAAGUUCAAGGGCCAAAUGGAUAAUUUGCUCUUCUUUUUAUCUUCUCUUUUUCCUCCUCAUUUUUCCCAAA